This 392-nucleotide ribosomal RNA is filed under the name uncultured bacterium. Its description in RNAcentral is "bacterial SSU rRNA". It matches the Rfam family "Bacterial small subunit ribosomal RNA", at positions 355 to 764 of the family's 1533-position model. The record is from RNAcentral.
UGGGGGAUAUUGCACAAUGGGGGAAACCCUGAUGCAGCAACGCCGCGUGAAGGAAGAAGGUCUUCGGAUUGUAAACUUCUGUCUUUGGUGAAGAUAAUGACGGUAGCUAAAGAGGAAGCUCCGGCUAACUACGUGCCAGCAGCCGCGGUAAUACGUAGGGAGCAAGCGUUGUCCGGAUUUACUGGGUGUAAAGGGUGCGUAGGCGGUUCUGCAAGUCAGUUGUGAAAACUAUGGGCUUAACCCAUAGCCUGCAAUUGAAACUGUGGGACGUGAGUGAAGUAGAGGUAGGUGGAAUUCCCGGUGGAGCGGUGAAAUGCGUAGAGAUCGGGAGGAACACCAGUGGCGAAGGCGGCCUACUGGGCUUUAACUGACGCUGAAGCACGAAAGCAUGG